UACGGGGGGGGCAAGCGUUGUUCGGAAUUACUGGGCGUAAAGGGUUCGUAGGUGGCUCGCUAAGUCAGACGUGAAAUCCCUCAGCUUAACUGGGGAACUGCGUCUGAGACUGGCAAGCUCGAGUGCAGGAGAGGAACGCGGAAUUCCAGGUGUAGCGGUGAAAUGCGUAGAUAUCUGGAGGAAUACCGGUGGCGAAGGCGGCAUCCUGGACCAAUACUGACGCUGAGGCGCGAAAGCUAGGGGAGCAAACGGG
This 253-nucleotide ribosomal RNA is filed under the name uncultured bacterium. RNAcentral describes it as "partial 16S ribosomal RNA". It matches the Rfam family "Bacterial small subunit ribosomal RNA", at positions 524 to 776 of the family's 1533-position model. The record is from RNAcentral.